Molecule: ribosomal RNA, 492 nt
Filed under: uncultured bacterium
Lineage: Bacteria
Description: partial 16S ribosomal RNA
Rfam family: Bacterial small subunit ribosomal RNA
Source: RNAcentral
AGUGAACGCUGGCGGUAGGCCUAACACAUGCAAGUCGAACGGCAGCACAGUAAGAGCUUGCUCUUACGGGUGGCGAGUGGCGGACGGGUGAGGAAUACAUCGGAAUCUACUUUUUCGUGGGGGAUAACGUAGGGAAACUUACGCUAAUACCGCAUACGACCUACGGGUGAAAGCAGGUGAUCUUCGGACCUUGCGCGAUUGAAUUAGCCGAUGUCGGAUUAGCUAGUUGGCGGGGUAAAGGCCCACCAAGGCGACGAUCCGUAGCUGGUCUGAGAGGAUGAUCAGCCACACUGGAACUGAGACACGGUCCAGACUCCUACGGGAGGCAGCAGUGGGGAAUAUUGGACAAUGGGCGCAAGCCUGAUCCAGCCAUACCGCGUGGGUGAAGAAGGCCUUCGGGUUGUAAAGCCCUUUUGUUGGGAAAGAAAAGCAGCAGGUUAAUACCCCGCUGUUCUGACGGUACCCAAAGAAUAAGCACCGGCUAACUUCGUG